UACAGAGGGUGCGAGCGUUAAUCGGAGUGACUGGACGUAAAGGGCGCGUAGGCGGCUUAUCAAGUCAGGCGUGAAAUUCCCGGGCUCAACCUGGGGGCUGCGCUUGAUACUGAUGAGCUUGAAUGCGGGAGAGGAUAGUGGAAUUCCCAGUGUAGAGGUGAAAUUCGUAGAUAUUGGGAAGAACACCGGUGGCGAAGGCGGCUAUCUGGCCCGUAAUUGACGCUGAGGCGCGAAAGCGUGGGGAGCAAACAGG
This 253-nucleotide ribosomal RNA is filed under the name uncultured prokaryote. RNAcentral describes it as "partial 16S ribosomal RNA". It matches the Rfam family "Bacterial small subunit ribosomal RNA", at positions 524 to 776 of the family's 1533-position model. The record is from RNAcentral.